Molecule: long non-coding RNA, 4130 nt
Filed under: Nicotiana tabacum (common tobacco)
Lineage: Eukaryota; Viridiplantae; Streptophyta; Magnoliopsida; Solanales; Solanaceae
Description: long non-coding RNA (NTAB_LNC011999)
Source: RNAcentral
UCUUGUUUAUUUACUUAAUAUGCUACGUCACUAAGAUGAGAAAUGCAUCCAUCCAUAAAAAAAAACCUGCUAGAGCAUCAUCAAAUUUUGCAACAUUAUCAGAAUUUCAUCAUAGAAUAGUAUGAUAUCGCAUCAUAGAAUAGUAUGAUAUCUCAUUUAUAUAUAGAUGAUUAUAAGUACUAUACAGUGUAGAGAGGGGAGCGACGUGAACUCACACUCUCCCAUAUAGGUCCGCCUCUCAUUGCCAGUACACAUAUUUAUUCAAAUUUGAGCCCGCAUAAAAUAACAUUAGUGAAUAGUAGCAAUAAAGAGAUUAAUAUUAUAGUCCAAAUGAUGCUUUAGUGAUAUUAUAUUAGAUCCUCAAAAAUAAUGAGUAUUAGUUGACCUCAAAGAUUAAAUUUUCUAGUAAUAUCAUAUUAGAUCCUCUGCAUCUGUGAGGGCUAUUGAAUCUGUUGUCCCAACAAUCUCUCAAAGUUAAACAUGUUCAUGAUUUCCUUUACAUUUCAUCGUCUCUACAGAUUUUACCACUUUACAGCUUCUAACACACUCCUCAAUGGCCUCCUUUUCACCCAACCUCACCACAUCUUCACUUUUAAACCCUCUUAGCGCCAUACCAAAAUUGACUAUUUUACAACAAACCCAUUGCCUUCAUCUUCGUCAGAUUUUGAUUCAGUUGUCAAAAGGGUCUGUUCUUUAGUGUGUGAAUCAUAUUGUAAAUUUUAAAAAAAUAGCCAUUUCAAAUCCACAGCUCCCAAGUUGAAACUGCCUAUAGAUUCUGAGUAUUUGACUCAAGAACAGGCUAUAACAGUUGUUGCCUCUCUUGCUGAUGAGGGAGGCUCAAUGCUAGCAUUGAGUUUCUUUUAUUGGGCUAUUGAGUAUGUGAAAUUCAGGCAUUUUAUGAGGCUUUAUAUAGUUUUAGCUAUGUAUUUGAUUAAAAAUGGAAACUUUGAGAGAGCACAUGAACUGAUGCAUUUUAUGCUGAGGAAUUUUGGUGAAAUUGUCACGUUGAAAGAGGCUACAGAUAUGGUGUUUGAGAUGCAAAAUCAAGGGUUGGUUUUGUAUGCUUAGAGUUUGAAUUCUGUUGUUAGUGUUGCUACUGAGAUGGGCCAUGUUGAGAUGGCAGAGAAGAUGUUCGGUGAAAUGUGUGACAGAGGAGUGUGUCCUGAUUCUUUUUGUGUAGUGUUAAAAAGGCAUAAUUAAGCAAGCAUUUGAGUUGUUAGAGGAUGGUGAAUGAGGCAGACCAAAAUAAUGCACUUGGGCCUGGGAAUGGUUUACGCCAGGGUCAAGUGAUUAAACAGCCCAACACAAGGUUAUUGGACUACCAUUGGGACCCGAGUUGAGAUACACGUGUCGAAGAGUUACUGGGCAAGAAGAAAUGUAGUUGGUAUAAUUAUCAGUUUGUGCGAGGAGGAGAGCAUGCGAAUUAUGUUGAGGCUUCCGCUGAGUCUAUUCUUCUCAUCUCUAUCUUUCUAAUGUCUUAAACUUCUCAUCCCUUUCUGGUUAUCCUUUCCUUGUUCCUCUAAUUCCUAGUUAAUUGUUGUUCUUCAUUCCAUUAGUAUUUCCUUUUACAGUGUUAUUUCGUUCAGUGAUUAUAAAAUACAAGUCUCUGUUUGUGUUGUGAAUUGGUUUGUCACAGAGGAAAUGGUUAAAAAAGGUUUUAUACCAAAUGUUUUCACUCAUACUGCAUUGAUUGACGGUCUUUGCAAGAAGGGCUGGAUGGAUAAGGCAUUUAGACUAUUCUUAAAGCUUGUGAAGAUUGAUAACUACAAGCCUAAUGAGCAUCCUUAUACAGCCAUUAUAGCUGGAUAUUGCAAACAGGAAAAAUUGAAUCGAGCAGAGAUGCUUUUGAGCAGAAUGCAAGAGCAAGGUUUGGUCCCUAACGCCAACACCUACACUGCAAGCUAGCCGAUAACAGCAAGCUUUUAACCUUUUCAGUAAGAUAGUCAAAGCUGGUAUCAGCCCUGAUAUGCAUACAUACACCACAUAAAUGACCUAUGUAGCAUCGGCUUUGGACUAUCUCCAUAACGGUUAUUCAGAGCCACUGGUGCAUUGUGAUUUGAAGCCUAGCAAUGUUUUGCUAGAUCAAAACAUGGUUGGCCAUUUAAGUGAUUUUGGUAUUGCAAAACUGUUAGGUAUAGAGGAUAGUCCUAGACAAACUAAGACUAUUGGGACCAUUGGAUACAUUGCGCCAGGUACCUAAACUUCUUCUAUUGCCAUUAUCUUUCUCGUAUCAUCAUUCAUCUGUGGAACUAUUAUAAAAAACUGAGCUGAUGAUUUCUCACUUGUCGUUGCAAAGUAAGGACAAGAUGGACUUGUAUCAACAAGUUGCGACGUGUAUAACUUUGGUGUUGUGAUGUUGGAAGCAUUCAUGAGGAGGAGGCCUGACGAUGAAAUGUUUACUGGAGAUUUAAGCAUAAGAAAUUGGGUGAACGACUCGUUUUCAUGGUCUAUUCCCAUUUUUAUCAAAACCUAGGUUUUUCAACAAAAUACUAAAAUCUCUACAAUUUUCAUGUUAAGAUCUGCCCAUAAUCUAGGUAUUAAACUCAUAUUGUGUAGAAUACACUUACCUCAAGAUGCUAGGUGAAAAUCCCUAUAUACAAAGCUCCAAAAUCGGCUUACAAAUGAGAAAAAUGAAAAAAAAGGGCCAAAAUCCCGAUUUUUAUUAAGUCACUGCCCAGGUCUGCCUUCUUCGCGAUUGCGGACAAGCCCUCGCGAUUGCGAAAGCAAAAGUCACGAACCCAGAAAAUGUCCUCUUCGCGAUCGCGAGAAGACACUCGUGAACGCGAUGCACUGAGCCGCCCUCUCAUCGUGAACGCGUGCCCCCACUCGCGAACGCGAAAGGCAACUGGGUUGCCUGGGACCUGGCCCAGGUCUUCCACGCGAACGCGACGAGUCAACCGCGAACGCGAAGGCCACUACCCAAGCCUCUGCAAACGCUACCCCGACUUUGCGAACAACAUCACCCAAUCCCCAAAUCCUUCUUCACGAUCGCGAGGGUCCUUACGUGUUCGCGAAGAAGGAAACCAGAACAGCACAUCAACAAUUUUGGAGUCAGCUUCGAGGGGUCUGAAACGCACCCGAGCCCCCCGAAACCCAGUCCAAAUGCACUAACAAGUCUAUAACCAUAAUACGGACCUGCUCGAACCCUCAGAACACAUAAAACAACAUCGAAACUAUGAAUCGCACCCCAAAACCAAAUUGAAUCAACUUAUAAACUUUAACUUCUUAACUAGCUCCGAACGUGCCGAAUUAUACUUAGACUAUUCGGAAUGACACCAAAUUUUGCGCACAAGUCAUAAAUCACCAUACAGACCUAUUCCCAGGCUCGAAAUCUCAAAUGGACCUCGAUAACACCAAAGUCUAUUCCAAAUAAAAUUUAAAGAACUAGAAAACCUUCAAUGCACCAAUUUUCAACAUUAAGCACCGAAAUGCUCCCGGAUCACCCGAAACACAAUUCAAACACACGCCUAAGUCCAAAAUCAUCAUACGAACCUAUUGGAACCAUCAAAUACCGGUUCCGAGGACGUUUACUUAAAACGUUGACUCAAGUCAAACUUGGCCAUCAUAUGCCACUAUUAAGGAACUAAGUAUUCUGAUUUCAACUUAAACCCUUCCAAACCUAAACCAACCAUCCCCGCAAGUCAUAAAAUAGUAAAAUCACAUACGGAAAGUCCUAAUUAAGGGAACGUGGAUCUAGAAAGAAAAAUGACCGGUCGGGUCGUUACAACCCGGAGUCACAAAUCUAAUAUGGAACAAAUAUGCCAAACCAAACCCGAGCCAAUUCACUAAUUUAGAAUUCAAAAUCCAGUUAUCUCCUAAUCACAUACUCAUAUGAUCAAAUUAACUCAAGUAAACAAAUACAAUUAACAGCCAAUGAGGGAAAAUGACAGAAAGUAUACCUAUCGGACUUGGACAUGCGUGGUGAGAAUUGAUUUCAAUCCGCCAAGUGAAACUCCGGCCGGUUAAGGAACUCUGGCAAGUAAUGGGGAUUGUAACAUGAGCACUGGCAGGAAUUUCUUCACAUGGACAGUGCUACAUGUAGCAAUUCUCAUCAUAUGCCAGAAAAGGGGAAAAAGCAAAGGUUCCAAAUGGUUCUGGCCGGUCAACGCAGUUUGACCGGAUUCGGGCGG